AGUCUCACAUCAAUAGGCUGAUGAGUUCUUCACAGCUGCAUACACUGGGCUUUACCUUCAGUCCCCUAUAUCCUCUGUCACCUCCUGAGACCUGUGCAGCGUACACAGAAUUACAAAUAGCUAAGAGGGAAGUGUUGGAAUGUUGGGUAGGACUGCAGGAAAUAGUCAAAAGACACCUUUGUCCCCUACUUCCUUAAGAGAAGGCCAGCAGGCCCUUUCUUGGGAGUAACUUGCAAAAAGCCACUCCUGCCCUGAUGAGGAUGGUGAUAGAGUUAUUGUCAGCAGAGUGUUUCAAACACUAUGAUUUUUAAAGUUGUAAACUUUUCACUAAAACAUACGUAUUUGAAAUUCUUUCCUUUAAGUAUAGAAUGUGACUGUUCCCCACCAACCAAAAGUGCUCACGUAGCCAGCAACCAUAUCCAGAACUAGAUCAGUCUCAGGGAACUGUUCUCAAGAUUUCUGUCUUCUUCUGAGGGCCUUAAUGCCAUUCCCAGGCCGAAGUAUAAAUAGAUCACUAAUUCCAAUAACAAAAACUCCUUUUUUCCUCAUCUAGGAGAACAUAGAUGGCCUGUGUUACAUAGUGAAUACUUCUGGCUGGAGCACCACUAUGCACAUUUGGUGAUGAACUUGCAUGUGCUUUUGUGGGUGUAAUUUUGCCAGUGGAUGGAAGCAUCCUGACAUCCUAGACUAUGCAUCAGGCAAAGCACUAAGCCACUUUAGGGCACUACAGGCUUGCUUAAAGCAAUCCUUCUUCAGACAGCCCUCACUUCUCAUGAGAGACCUCAACAAACUGAAAAGGUCUUCUGAAAAACACUCCACUGUAUACACUGAGAUAUAUUUUUGUUGAUACAGCUAAUUUUAGUGAAAUUUUUUGUUAAUAAAGUUACUUUUUGAAUCAUAACUUAGGGGAACAUGUUUAUAAGGGAAUCAACAACUCCAGAAUGUGGAGGUUUGUGAAGAAAGACAAAUUAGCAAGAGACUAGUCAUGUCUGUACGUUUAGAAACAAGAUUUUAAGAGUUGGGAAGAUGCCUUGGUGGUUGUGAGCAUUGACUCCUUCCAGAGGUCCAUGAUUCAAUACCCAGCAUUCACAUGGCAGCUCAUAAUUGUCUGUAUGCCCAGUUCUAGGAGAUCUGACACUCUUCUCUAGCCUCCAUAGGCAUUGCAAGUAAGUGGUGUGCAGACAUACAUGUAAUACAUGUAAGUAAAACACCCAUACACAUAAAAUAAGAAGAAAACUUUAAAAAGUGGGAACAGAGUAUAUAUUUAAAGCUUUAAGAGCCAAACAGCAUACUAUAAGAAGACACUAGAAAGUCAUGUCAAAAGCAAAGCUGUCUUUUUCUCCUAACGAUCCAGGGCAGAGCCACUGCUCUGCUCCCCACCCUGUUCUUCCUCCAACUGAAGGCAAUUCUGGUUAAUUGAACAAGAUUUCUUAUAUUGGUUUAUUUUUGGAAACAGAGUCUCUCUAUACAGCCUAGGCUCAGUUUGAAUUUGAAAUCCUCCCCCCCCUAGUUAAUUUAGGAUUUCACACAAGACAAUUUAUUUUAAGAGUAAUAAACCUGUGAAUAUAUAAAAGUAUAAUUACAGUGCAUACCUUGCAAAUGAGAAAACUAAUACACAGAGAUAUUAAGUGAAUUGCUUAGUCACAGGCCUUCCAAGAUGGAGAAUCAGGCUUUGAAUUACAUGGGCUGCUCUACAUUGAACUUGAUCUUUUGAUCAUUUGGCCUCAUUUGAUCAUUUGGUUACAGUUACCUAUGUUAACAUAUUAAAACUAAUAUUGACCUCACUUAAAUUGUUAGAAUAAAGCAUUGUUGGAUACUGACUGUUUUAGUUAGGGUUUUACUGCUGUGAACAGAUACCAUGACCAAAGCAAGUCUUAUAAAUGACAGCAUUUAAUUGAAGCUGGCUUACAGGUUCAGAGGUUCAGUCCAUUAUCAUCAAGGCAGGAACACGGCAGCAUCCAGGCAGACAUGGUGCAAGAGGAGCUGAGAGUUCUACAUCUUCAUAUGAAGGCUGCUAGUAGAAGACUGCCUUCAGGCAGCUAGUGUGAGGGUUUUAAGUUCCACAACCACAGUGACACACCACUCCAACAAAGCCACACCUCCUAAUAGUGCCAUUCCCUCGGCCGAGCAUAUACAAACCAUAAUACAAAUUCCACUUUCUCUUUGAAAGUGGGAUUUGAGGACUGGGCUUUAAACUUCUAAGAAAAUUCUAUUUUUCUUAAUUUAUCAAUUAUCAACAUAUUCCUCAGUAGAAGCAAUCUAACACUGGCCAAGAAUGGUGUUACAGUAUCUUUAAGAUAUAACCACUGGUUGUCACUUACUUUUGAAGUAUGCUUUGAGGUGAUUGCCUACAUUUUUAGGCCAUUUAGGUUAUUGACAAAGGAAUGAUCUAGCAUGUAGGAUUAGUGUGCAAAAGACUCUUAGAAUUUUAUUAUCAAAAGUAGUUCUCAUAAAGGCUGAUUUCAUUAUUACACAUCAGCCAUCUUAAAUUACACACAUGUAUUUUUAUCUAUUUUGGUGUCUCCAUUCACCUGGUCCAUUUAACAGACCAGAAAACUCAUCUCCAGAGCCAAUCAACCAACUCCAGGCAUAAAGCAGCCAUUCUUAUCCUCAGGACAGGAUAUAGGAAGUCUGGACUGCUACUAGAGCCAUUUCUAUACCCUGUACCAAUCCAUGUUUCUUCCUAACUGACAGACUCUGAGGAUUUCAAGUCUGUGGUUCUCAGCACACUUCUGAAAGACUUUGAAUGGCUAACAGUCAUUUCUCAGCAGGAUUGAUCUCCAGCCAGGGUCACCAGACAUUGGCCUCCUUUUUGUGUAGUUUGGAAGAUUCUCUCUUCAAAACUGUCUCUCUACAUAAAAUGUUUCCUGUUUGAGUUUCCUUUUUUUCUAAUGAAUGAAUUUAUUUUGCUAGAGGAAGAAUUUUCCUGAGCUGUUCUGAGAAAGGCAAGAUAAAUGAAAGGUUAUAGAUCAAACGUGUUUAUUUGUCCCCUGUCUGGUGAGGAUUGGCUUAUGUAUUGCUAUGUGCUGUAUGGAAGGCUGAGGGACAAUGAGCCACACUGAGGUUGCUGAGAGAGGUGUAAUAGCACUGGUCGAGUCUCAGGAAGAUGCACAUUUAUGGCAGGUGUGGAACCAUCACAGCCAUUAGGGUGAGUCAAGAUGGAGCCCUCUAUGCUAUCAUCAGAGCAAAACAGAGAGAACAGCAUCUCUUGAAGACCCCUGAGAACUCUUUCAGGGUCAUGGUAGGAACUGGGUAACAGCCACAUUGCAUAAUUCUUACUGAUCAUGUUUUAUUAGAGGUGAACAUGCAUUGUCCACAGUUACUGUACUUUGUUUUCCAUUUCUCAGAUUCAGAAAGUUAAUUGCUCAUAUUACACAUCCAGUAAAAGAUAACUGGACUGCAAGACAUCCCUUCAAGCAGGUGCUCUUCACAGGGCACUUGCCUCUGCUGCCUCGGGCUGGGCAGAGGGGAACUGCUAACAGUCUAAGAUGAGGAUACAAGAGAGAGCAGCCUAAAUAGAGAGUAGAAGGUACAAACUUAAAUAUGGCCUGAGGUCAGAGCAGUUAGCCUACCUCUGGGAUGUUGCUUGUAUAGGAAGCCAGCAUUGGGAAAUUUGCAGGAUUGAUGAGGUAAGCCAUGGCAUGGACAGUGAUGAUUGUUUUUUCCAUCAUGUAUUUGGAACAGAGAAAUAAUAUUCUGGAAAAACUUGGGAAGAUAAACGAACUCUGGGGUGAUGUGUAGAUGAAAACAGAAUGAGGUUCAGAAGUGGGGGAGUCAUGGACCAGCUUCUGCAAAGACCAAUGAUAGAGGGACAAUUAUCAGGCAAUUGGUAUUUGACUAUUGGUACUUAAAACAUCCUUGAGGGUCCAAAGCGCUAAGAUUGUGUAGGGUUUGAUCUAUGGAUGUCUACUGUGUUUGAAAUUAAAACUGAGAAAUUCCAAAGUUGAUUAAGUCAUCUUAAAAGAAAUAUUAUAUCAAUAUGUUAAUCAUAUUAAGAACUUUAUGCUUAUCUCAAUAUGAAACAUUUUAGGACAAUAACUGUUUUACAUAGUAAAAGGAUGAUAUGUAAUAUUUCUACAGUAUUCUCUAAUGUCUGAUUAGUAGAACCCAGAAAAAUUAUCAUACAUUUGACAGUCAGAAAAUCACAUGUAUACUUCUGAGAGAGUAAGGAGGACAAGUUAGACAGUGUCAUCAUGAAUAUUUUUGAUGCUGUGGCAUUGUGAAAGACUCAUGGGGAUUCUGAUAAGACCUUGGAGCAAGUCUGAAGAAACAACGCACUGGAGGGUGGCUGAGAAGACUGAGGGAGAUAAAAAAACAAAAC
Molecule: long non-coding RNA, 4321 nt
Filed under: Mus musculus (house mouse)
Lineage: Eukaryota; Metazoa; Chordata; Mammalia; Rodentia; Muridae
Description: long non-coding RNA chr1:14788644-14792965
Source: RNAcentral